AGUGAACGCUGGCGGCAGGCCUAAUACAUGCAAGUCGAACGGCAGCACAGCAGAGCUUGCUCUGUGGGUGGCGAGUGGCGGACGGGUGAGGAAUACAUGGGAAUCUGCCCAGUCGUGGGGGAUAACGUAGGGAAACUUACGCUAAUACCGCAUGCGCCCUUCGGGGGAAAGCCGGGGACCUUCGGGCCUGGCGCGAUUGGAUGAGCCCAUGUCGGAUUAGCUAGUUGGCGGGGUAAUGGCCCACCAAGGCGACGAUCCGUAGCUGGUCUGAGAGGAUGAUCAGCCACACUGGAACUGAGACACGGUCCAGACUCCUACGGGAGGCAGCAGUAGGGAAUAUUGGACAAUGGGCGCAAGCCUGAUCCAGCCAUGCCGCGUGAGUGAAGAAGGCCCUCGGGUUGUAAAGCUCUUUUGUCCGGAAAGAAAAGCGCCGGGUUAAUACCCUGGUGUCCUGACGGUACCGGAAGAAUAAGCACCGGCUAACUACGUGCCAGC
RNAcentral lists this ribosomal RNA (495 nucleotides) under uncultured bacterium. RNAcentral's name for it is "bacterial SSU rRNA". It matches the Rfam family "Bacterial small subunit ribosomal RNA", at positions 29 to 512 of the family's 1533-position model. The record is from RNAcentral.